CCGGGGCUCUACCUUCUUAAUGGAGCUCAGAUAGCACUCUCGCGAACCUCUCUGGUCGCCUCUCACCGUUGCCACCCCAUUUUCUGUUGGGAAUUUCAUGCAUAGGUGGUGGAUGGAGGUGACUGCUCCCAAUUCCUUUAGGGUCGGUCUGCCCAAGACUCCGUGGUAAGCCGAACGGCUGUCAACUACGAGGAAUUCCAUGAAGUUCAUCGUAGUUUGAGGAAAUUCUCCCAUCUCCACUGCCAGUGUUAUCUUUUCUCUAGGAGUGAUGCUAUCUCCGGUAAAUCCGUACAAUGGAGUGGUGGUGGGCGUCAACUGAUGGUCCAAUAUCAUCUUGUCAAAGGCGGACCCGAAUAGGAUGUUGACGGAGCUGCCGUUGUCGACUAGCAUUCGUUUGAGCCCAUUUCGGGCUAUGACAGCCCUAACCACCAGCGCAUCGCAGUGGGGAUAAUGAACUCUUUCGGCGUCUUCCUGGGUGAAGACAAUGGGUGGUACUUGGUUUCUUCUAGAGCUACUCUCCACAAUGUAACUCGUCAGAGGGGGGUGCUUUGCCUCCCUAGCAUAAUUUCUUUUGGCGUUUCGUGUUUCACCGCCAACAUAAGGGCCUCCAAAUAUGGUAUCUAUCUCGUGGAUAGGGGUCUCAUCUUGAGCUUGCCUAUUUCUUCGGUGUCUACGCCCUUCCCUGAGCCUCUCUGUGUCUUGCUCUCUUCGCUUUGGGGAUACAUCCCUUUGACGAGGAGCGGCCGUCUCACGCCCAUGUCGGUUAUCGUGCUUGGGCGGGGGCCUGUUUGCCUGGGGCGAACUGUGUCUUUCUCUGGCGGGUUCCUGCCGGGAGCGGUGUGCAUAGUCUCUGCAAUCGGCGGUGUCGUGCCCGUAGGACCUGUGGUGCAAACAGUAUCUAGGGAGGUUCGGAUUGGACCUAUUUCUAGGUGCAAAACCUCGGCCUCGGCCUCUCCCUCUGCGGGGUCCCUGCUGGGCCUCGGUCGGGUGUGCAUCAGCAGUUGGGUUGACAUCCUCAUAUGCUAAGGUUGGAACCGCGUUCAAAGUUGUGGUGGUCAGGGCUUGGCCGGAGUUCUCAUUUCCGGCUCGGUUUAUCUGGUAGUCCAUGAGGUGGGAGGUCGGUCCCCUACCUCGCUGUCUUUGAGGAGGUGGGAGGCCUCUGCUUGCCCUGUUUCUAUGCUCAAUCAAUUCUUUAUUGAUUAUCUCCCUUCUCAUCAUCUCUAGUAGGGCGUCAUAGGUGGUUGGGUCUUGAUUCUGCACAUCUCUCCAGAAUAGGGUGUUCAUGUUUAAGCCUCCUCUUAAUGCAGAUAGUGCUUCCCUGUCGGUGACUUAUACACAGUAGGUCAUCUCGUCGGUGAAGCGGGAUAGGAAGCUCAUAUCUUGAAGGCGCUGGAUGGGGGCCUCUCCUUCCUUGCUUACUGCGAACCUCUUCAAGAAGAUAGUUUUGAACUUGGGCCAGCUUCGGAUACUCCCAGAUGGUAGCCUAUUAUACCAGAUUUCAGCCGCUCCACUGAGGGUUAAAUGGAAUGCUCUGCACUUUACGGCUGGGGUGGCGCCCCUCAGGCUCAUGUGAGUUUUGUAAGCGUUGAGGUGCUUUUCUGGGUCACCUCUCCCAUCAUACUUUGGUAUUUUUGGCAUAACAUAGUGGCUCGGGACCUGGGCAUUUCUUAGUUCUCUUGAGAAUGGCAGGUUCUCAUCAUCAUCAUCCAAGUCAGAAGACCUCUGCUGCUCAUCAGAAUUGUAGUCUUCGGCCUCGUACCUCGGUUGUUAGUGAGAGGGUCCGGGCCGGUUCCUAGCCUCUUCCUCCCUCCUUUGCGGCCUACUUCUAGGCGGGACAGCGCGGGGGGCAUUUUUAUGCCUUCUCUCAGGCUGCUGGGGCAUCGGAGGUGGAGGCUGUGGCCUCGUCCGAGGCUGCUGAGCCUGCUGCUGACUGGGCCUCGGUUCUGCAGGGCUGAUUCUGUCAAAAACACUUCCUGCUCUCCUUUGUCUUGGGUCUUGUUCAUAUGGUGGUGGGAAGUUAUCAUGGCUCAUUUGGACCUCGGUGGGUCGACCAGAUGCAUAGUUGGAGGAUAUGUCGACUCCCACUUCCCUCUCGAAUGGGCUUUCACCUCGGCAAUAGCCUGGCGAGGCAACCCUAUGACUCUGGACCUCGUCCUCUUGCUGAUAGUGCCCAUGGAGAGCAUAUGAAGGAAUGGGGAAGCCCCCCUGGCCUUGCAUUUGGCUCAUGGCCAAGUUUUGGUUGGCUAUAUCCCUCAUGUUGGCUGCCAUGGUAGCCAUUUCUCUUGAUAGUCGUGCUGUCGCACGCAUCCCACCUCUCCUUUGGUGGUGGUGGAGCCUCGGCCUAGCUGCUGGGGCAGCAGGCUGGGGAGGCACAUUCGUACUUUUUCUUACCCUCCUUGGGAGAGUAUC
This 2409-nucleotide long non-coding RNA is filed under the name Olea europaea subsp. europaea. Lineage: Eukaryota; Viridiplantae; Streptophyta; Magnoliopsida; Lamiales; Oleaceae. The record is from RNAcentral.